GACGAACGCUGGCGGCGUGCUUAACACAUGCAAGUCGAACGGUAAGGCCCCUCGGGGUACACGAGUGGCGAACGGGUGAGUAACACGUGGGUGAUCUGCCCUGCACUUCGGGAUAAGCCUGGGAAACUGGGUCUAAUACCGGAUAGGACUCCGGACUGCAUGGUCUGGGGUGGAAAGCUUUUGCGGUGUGGGAUGGGCCCGCGGCCUAUCAGCUUGUUGGUGGGGUGAUGGCCUACCAAGGCGACGACGGGUAGCCGGCCUGAGAGGGUGACCGGCGACACUGGGACUGAGAUACGGCCCAGACUCCUACGGGAGGCAGCAGUGGGGAAUAUUGCACAAUGGGCGCAAGCCUGAUGCAGCGACGCCGCGUGAGGGAUGACGGCCUUCGGGUUGUAAACCUCUUUCAGCAUCGACGAAGCGAAAGUGACGGUAGGUGCAGAAGAAGGACCGGCCAACUACGUGCCAGCCGCCGCAGUAA
Molecule: ribosomal RNA, 478 nt
Filed under: uncultured bacterium
Lineage: Bacteria
Description: partial 16S ribosomal RNA
Rfam family: Bacterial small subunit ribosomal RNA
Source: RNAcentral